UCUCCGUUGGUGAACCAGCGGAGGGAUCAUUACCGAGUUUACAACUCCCAAACCCAAUGUGAACCAUACCAAACUGUUGCCUCGGCGGGGUCACGCCCCGGGUGCGUCGCAGCCCCGGAACCAGGCGCCCGCCGGAGGGACCAACCAAACUCUUUCUGUAGUCCCCUCGCGGACGUUAUUUUUACAGCUCUGAGCAAAAAUUCAAAAUGAAUCAAACUUUCAACAACAGAUCUCUUGGUUCUG
Molecule: unclassified non-coding RNA, 243 nt
Filed under: plant metagenome
Description: partial contains small subunit ribosomal RNA, internal transcribed spacer 1, and 5.8S ribosomal RNA
Source: RNAcentral